AUGUCGCAAGCGUUAUCCGGCUUUAUUGUGCGUCAAGCGCGUCUAGGUGGUUUGGUAAGUCUGCUGUUGAAAUGCGGGUCUCAACUCCGUAUUGCGUUGGAAACUGCCAAACUAGAGUACUGGAGAGGUGGGCGGAACUACAAGUGUAGAGGUGAAAUUCGUAGAUAUUUGUAGGAAUGCCGAUAGAGAAGUCAGCUCACUGGACAGAUACUGACACUGAAGCGCGAAAGCAUGGGGAGCAAA
Molecule: ribosomal RNA, 243 nt
Filed under: uncultured bacterium
Lineage: Bacteria
Description: partial 16S ribosomal RNA
Rfam family: Bacterial small subunit ribosomal RNA
Source: RNAcentral